GCCUGACCAGCUCAGUCAGUAGAGCAUGUGACUCUUGAUCUCGGGGUUGUGAGUUCAAGCCCCAUGUUGGGCA
Molecule: transfer RNA, 73 nt
Filed under: Ailuropoda melanoleuca (giant panda)
Lineage: Eukaryota; Metazoa; Chordata; Mammalia; Carnivora; Ursidae
Rfam family: tRNA
About the family: Transfer RNA (tRNA) molecules are approximately 80 nucleotides in length. Their secondary structure includes four short double-helical elements and three loops (D, anti-codon, and T loops). Further hydrogen bonds mediate the characteristic L-shaped molecular structure. tRNAs have two regions of fundamental functional importance: the anti-codon, which is responsible for specific mRNA codon recognition, and the 3' end, to which the tRNAs corresponding amino acid is attached (by aminoacyl-tRNA synthetases). tRNAs cope with the degeneracy of the genetic code in two manners: having more than one tRNA (with a specific anti-codon) for a particular amino acid; and 'wobble' base-pairing, i.e. permitting non-standard base-pairing at the 3rd anti-codon position.
Source: Rfam by way of RNAcentral